UACGUAGGGAGCAAGCGUUGUUCGGAUUUACUGGGCGUAAAGGGCGCGUAGGCGGCGCGGUAAGUCACUUGUGAAAUCUCUGAGCUUAACUCAGAACGGCCAAGUGAUACUGCAGUGCUAGAGUGCAGAAAGGGCAAUCGGAAUUCUUGGUGUAGCGGUGAAAUGCGUAGAUAUCAGGAGGAACACCGGUGGCGAAGGCGGGUCUCUGGGCAGUAACUGACGCUGAGGAGCGAAAGCGUGGGGAGCGAACAGG
RNAcentral lists this ribosomal RNA (253 nucleotides) under uncultured bacterium. RNAcentral describes it as "partial 16S ribosomal RNA". It matches the Rfam family "Bacterial small subunit ribosomal RNA", at positions 524 to 776 of the family's 1533-position model. The record is from RNAcentral.